RNAcentral lists this transfer RNA (56 nucleotides) under Pholcus sp. HCP-2014. RNAcentral's name for it is "tRNA-Pro". The record is from RNAcentral. Lineage: Eukaryota; Metazoa; Arthropoda; Arachnida; Araneae; Pholcidae.
UACUUAAUAAUUUAAUAAAAUAUUCACCUUGGACGUGAAAAUUCUCCCAUAAAAUC